Molecule: ribosomal RNA, 497 nt
Filed under: uncultured bacterium
Lineage: Bacteria
Description: partial 16S ribosomal RNA
Rfam family: Bacterial small subunit ribosomal RNA
Source: RNAcentral
GAUGAACGCUGGCGGCGUGCCUAAUACAUGCAAGUCGAGCGAACAGAUAAGGAGCUUGCUCCUUUGACGUUAGCGGCGGACGGGUGAGUAACACGUGGGUAACCUACCUAUAAGACUGGAAUAACUCCGGGAAACCGGGGCUAAUGCCGGAUAACAUUUAGAACCGCAUGGUUCUAAAGUGAAAGAUGGUUUUGCUAUCACUUAUAGAUGGACCCGCGCCGUAUUAGCUAGUUGGUAAGGUAACGGCUUACCAAGGCAACGAUACGUAGCCGACCUGAGAGGGUGAUCGGCCACACUGGAACUGAGACACGGUCCAGACUCCUACGGGAGGCAGCAGUAGGGAAUCUUCCGCAAUGGGCGAAAGCCUGGCGGAGCAACGCCGCGUGAGUGAUGAAGGUCUUCGGAUCGUAAAACUCUGUUAUUAGGGAAGAACAAAUGUGUAAGUAACUGUGCACGUCUUGACGGUACCUAAUCAGAAAGCCACGGCUAACUACGUG